Molecule: long non-coding RNA, 580 nt
Organism: Hydra vulgaris (swiftwater hydra)
Lineage: Eukaryota; Metazoa; Cnidaria; Hydrozoa; Anthoathecata; Hydridae
Source: RefSeq, a predicted model, not a curated record
AUAAAGAAAGUUAUUGAUUGGUUAUAGUUUCUUGACUACGUACAAAACAAAUGUUGAAUUUCAAAAAAAAAAAGACUCUUGCUCUUAAGGCAGGAAAAAUCUUGCAAAUAGGACAAAAAAUAAACAAAAAAAUAAACGUACACUCAAAGAUUAUGGCAAACAAUUUAGAAAAAAUGGAAAGGGGAAUAAGUCAGCAACUUUCAUAUCGAUUACAACAAACUCUUCUCAGACAUGUCGAGCUGUUGAAAUAGAAAUGCCAAUUGAUGAGCCAUUUACUACCAAGGAUUCUGCUUUGUGGGCGGAAAACUUGUCUAGAAGUUGAACGCGAUGCUGUAGUACUUAAGGAACCUCCUCAAAAUCUUUUAUCUUUUCCAAGAGACUUGUGUAAUAUAAAAGUACCUGAAUCAGUUUUCUACGUAGUAUCUCGCAAUGGAGAAAUAAUGAAUGAAGAUUGGCUUGUUUGGAGUGCAACUUCAAAGUUCUUUGUUUUCCGUGCUCAUUUUUCAGAAACACGCAACCUCAGCGUGAUAUUAUAUUUGUAUUUACAUCAUUGUUAAUAUAUUAUAAUUAAACAAAAAGU